AGAUGGAGGUGAUGAUGAUGAAAGUUGUUGUUGCUCAUGUUUCUAACAUUUUUUUAUUUUUUGUGUAUGGAGUGGGUGUGAAUGGUUUAUGUAGUGUAUGAUAUAUGGUUGGAAGAAAAAACAUAUGGUGUGUUAUGGGAGCAUGAAGAAGAAAAUGAAAUGGUUUAUUGUGGAGUUGGAAACAAGGGUUGUUUGCUUCAAUAUUC
This 206-nucleotide long non-coding RNA is filed under the name Lathyrus oleraceus (garden pea). RNAcentral's name for it is "Pisum sativum (pea) long non-coding RNA (PSAT_LNC005509)". Lineage: Eukaryota; Viridiplantae; Streptophyta; Magnoliopsida; Fabales; Fabaceae. The record is from RNAcentral.